CCUACGGGAGGCCGCAGUGAGGAAUAUUGGUCAAUUGGCGAGAGCCUGAACCAGCCAAGUCGCGUGAGGGAGUACUGCCCUAUGGGUUGUAAACCUCUUUUGUCGGGGAGCAACAGCCGGACGUGUCCGGCUUUGAGAGUACCCGAAGAAAAAGCAUCGGCUAACUCCGUGCCAGCGGCCGCGGUAAUACGGAGGAUGCGAGCGUUAUCCGGAGUUAUUGGGUUUAAAGGGUGCGCAGGCGGAUUUUUAAGUCAGCGGUCAAAUCGUGGGGCUCAACCCCAUCCCGCCGUUGAAACUGGGGAUCUAGAGUGUGCGAGAGGUAUGCGGAAUGCGUGGUGUAGCGGUGAAAUGCAUAGAUAUCGCGCAGAACCCCGAUUGCGAAGGCAGCAUACCGGUGCACAACUGACGCUCAGGCACGAAAGCGUGGGUAUCGAACAGGAUUAGAUACCCCAGUAGUC
This 458-nucleotide ribosomal RNA is filed under the name uncultured bacterium. RNAcentral describes it as "partial 16S ribosomal RNA". It matches the Rfam family "Bacterial small subunit ribosomal RNA", at positions 338 to 795 of the family's 1533-position model. The record is from RNAcentral.